RNAcentral lists this long non-coding RNA (406 nucleotides) under Haliotis rubra (blacklip abalone). RNAcentral describes it as "uncharacterized LOC124281305". Lineage: Eukaryota; Metazoa; Mollusca; Gastropoda; Lepetellida; Haliotidae. The record is from RNAcentral.
CAUAACCGGAGCAUCGCGUAAGGCGUGAACAUAUUUCACUCAAAAUGUCAUCAAUGUUAUCAUACAUAUGAGAGUGAAUUCACAAUGAUGAACAUAUUUAAGGAAGGAACACGCGGUAGAUUGCAUUCAAUUUCGAUAUGUCAAAUACACAGUUACAUCCAGUGGUGGAAGAUACCUGUGUGUUGGUGGAUUUAUGAGUGAAGCGAAAUUGGAUAUCCUGGAAGUGCACAGAAAAGAAGUGUAAUUUCACUUCGUCAACUGUCAAUGACAUUGUGACGAUGGUGAAAGGUGACCAUGCUCAUCCCCGUGUCCAAGUAGACAUAAAGAUGAACCAGUUUGCAAAUGGUGCAUCUCACCUACUUCAUGUUGGAUGAUUUUGUAUACGAAAUAAAAUGGACGAAUUAUA